This 90-nucleotide transfer RNA is filed under the name Cellvibrio sp. Its description in RNAcentral is "tRNA-Ser". It matches the Rfam family "tRNA". Rfam says of the family: Transfer RNA (tRNA) molecules are approximately 80 nucleotides in length. Their secondary structure includes four short double-helical elements and three loops (D, anti-codon, and T loops). Further hydrogen bonds mediate the characteristic L-shaped molecular structure. tRNAs have two regions of fundamental functional importance: the anti-codon, which is responsible for specific mRNA codon recognition, and the 3' end, to which the tRNAs corresponding amino acid is attached (by aminoacyl-tRNA synthetases). tRNAs cope with the degeneracy of the genetic code in two manners: having more than one tRNA (with a specific anti-codon) for a particular amino acid; and 'wobble' base-pairing, i.e. permitting non-standard base-pairing at the 3rd anti-codon position. Lineage: Bacteria; Pseudomonadati; Pseudomonadota; Gammaproteobacteria; Cellvibrionales; Cellvibrionaceae. The record is from RNAcentral. RNAcentral also lists the same sequence under 1 other name.
GGAGGGGUGGCAGAGUGGUUGAAUGCACCGGUCUUGAAAACCGGCGUAGGUGCGAGCCUACCCAGGGUUCGAAUCCCUGCCCCUCCGCCA